AUUUAGGUGUUCAUUCACUGGGUGCUAAGGAGUCUAAUUCAACACAUUGCUGGUGUUGUUUGUCUGUCGACCGUUACAGCGCCUAUCUGUGUUUCUUUCUUGGACUCCGACAUGUAGGAGGUGGCCAAGAUGUUGAUAAAAGUAAAACACAGAGAGACAAAGAAAUAUGCAAAAUUGGAAGAAGUCAGCUUCACAGAUUUUGUGAGAGCAGUGCAGCAGAAGUUUCUCAUACCAGAAAAUGCAGCACUGAAAGUCACGGAUGAGCAGGGUAUAGAGGUGGAUGAGGAUAUCUUUCCUGAACUUGCAGCAGUCAAAGAGGUGUGUUUUGUCAUCAAUACAGCUGAAGACAUCCUGGAAACACAAUCAUCCAAGAAGCUGCGUGACUGCUCAGACCUAACACACUAUGUGACACUCACACCUUGUGAUUUGACUGUCCUGAAGCAACAUGUGGAAGAGCCCUCCUCUCCAAGUCUAACAGAUACAUUGUCUGUCUCAACCACCAGCAGUCAGAGCAGUGACACAAGUGAUGCCGGACUUCAAAUGGUUCAGCCUCUAUUGGACAGCAUACAUGAAAGAAAUGUAGAUACAGUACUUAAUUGACUUAUACUUGACUCUUUAGUUGCCAUUACUUGAAAAAGCUUAAACACGAAGAUAAAACAGAUUAGAGAAAAAUAACUUAAUAUAGUAUUUCAUGUAGUUUGCUCUGCAACUGUAGUGUGUAAUAAGACUUGCUCUCUCUCUCUCGCUCUCUCUCUGUUUUUGUUAUGCAUGUUAACCAUGAAACGUGUUUCCAUGAUCAGUGUCCUGCUUUUCAGGUAAAUGAAACCAUUUUUAAGAAGAUACUGGUUCUAGAAAGGGAGAAAGUAAGACAUUUCAAAUGUUUUGAUGCCCAAAUGUCAUAUGGGUGUGAUUCACAAUUUUAUGUUCUGUGAGAGAGUUGCAUUACUUAAUUUGUUGGCUUGAUGGAGACUUUACAGAGUCUUCCUCACGUUAACACUGCAUUACAAGAAGUGCUUAUUCUGUAGUCAUUUUUUUCCUUUAAUUCUGUUUUUUUUUUCUUUUCGCCCAAUGUUAGGCCUUUCUGACCUCAACUGUUUAGCUGCCAAUAAUGGUGGAUAUUAUGCUAUUACAGUACUGUUACACAGAAUGUAUGUUAAUCCAUGCAGCAUUCAUAUUUGAAUAUGUUAUUUUUGAUAAAUAAAAUCCAUACAUUCAUAAUAAUCACUAUUGUGUUUUUGUAGUAAUUUGCACCAAAAACCUAAAACUUUUUUCAAUUGAUGAGUAACACUACAAAAGAGUUAAUAUCAAACUUAACUCUAGUUAUGAGUUAAAUUUUACUCUAUAUGGUAGUAGAAAUUUCACUCCGUGAGAGUUUAGUUUUAACUCCUAUAAAGAGUUGAAAAAUCAACUCCCGGAAAAGAGUUACUCUAACUCUGCACUAGAGUUCAUUCGAUGGUCACGCAUGUACACUCAAAUGUAGUUAAUCUGAACUCCC
Molecule: long non-coding RNA, 1495 nt
Organism: Astatotilapia calliptera (eastern happy)
Lineage: Eukaryota; Metazoa; Chordata; Actinopteri; Cichliformes; Cichlidae
Source: Ensembl